This 440-nucleotide ribosomal RNA is filed under the name uncultured bacterium. Its description in RNAcentral is "partial 16S ribosomal RNA". It matches the Rfam family "Bacterial small subunit ribosomal RNA", at positions 338 to 795 of the family's 1533-position model. The record is from RNAcentral.
CCUACGGGGGGCAGCAGUGGGGAAUAUUGCACAAUGGGGGAAACCCUGAUGCAGCGACGCCGCGUGAGUGAAGAAGUAUUUCGGUACGUAAAGCUCUAUCAGCAGGGAAGAAAAUGACGGUACCUGACUAAGAAGCCCCGGCUAACUACGUGCCAGCAGCCGCGGUAAUACGUAGGGGGCAAGCGUUAUCCGGAUUUACUGGGUGUAAAGGGAGCGUAGACGGCAGCGCAAGUCUGGAGUGAAAUCCCAUGGCUUAACCAUGGAACUGCUUUGGAAACUGUGCAGCUAGAGUGCAGGAGAGGUAAGCGGAAUUCCUAGUGUAGCGGUGAAAUGCGUAGAUAUUAGGAGGAACACCAGUGGCGAAGGCGGCUUACUGGACUGCAACUGACGUUGAGGCUCGAAAGCGUGGGGAGCAAACAGGAUUAGAUACCCCUGUAGUC